This 253-nucleotide ribosomal RNA is filed under the name uncultured bacterium. RNAcentral describes it as "partial 16S ribosomal RNA". It matches the Rfam family "Bacterial small subunit ribosomal RNA", at positions 524 to 776 of the family's 1533-position model. The record is from RNAcentral.
UACAUGUGGGGCAAGCGUUGUUCGGAAUUACUGGGCAUAAAGGGUGCGUAGGUGGUUUGUUAAGUCAGGGGUGAAAUCCUGGAGCUCAACUCCAGAACUGCCUUUGAUACUGGCGAUCUUGAGUCCGGGAGAGGUGAGUGGAACUGCGAGUGUAGAGGUGAAAUUCGUAGAUAUUCGCAAGAACACCAGUGGCGAAGGCGGCUCACUGGCCCGGUACUGACGCUGAGGUGCGAAAGCGUGGGGAGCAAACAGG